UGGAUAAAAGUGCAUUCGGG
RNAcentral lists this non-coding RNA (20 nucleotides) under Arabidopsis thaliana (thale cress). The record is from RNAcentral. Lineage: Eukaryota; Viridiplantae; Streptophyta; Magnoliopsida; Brassicales; Brassicaceae.